Long non-coding RNA from Argiope bruennichi, 2904 nucleotides. RefSeq lists it as uncharacterized. The record is from RefSeq and is a predicted model, not a curated record. The transcript has 4 exons. NCBI's taxonomy places the organism in Eukaryota, Metazoa, Arthropoda, Arachnida, Araneae, Araneidae.
ACAACGUGCUUUUUAAUUUUCUACUUUAAAGUUUGUUUUCUUCUAAUUUCUUCUGAAAGUUUACGCAGUUAACUGGUUUCAUAAGCUGUUAAAAUGGGUAGGAAAAAGAAAUCUCAACUCUUGCGGUCUGAAAUCAUGAAAAAAAAUCGAAAACAAGACUCGGAUUGUGAUACUUCGGUAGCUGCUGAAACCAAAGUUGUUAAAUGUUUGGAUGAGCGAAACAUAAUUUAUCCAGUGAAGAAAAACUUGCCUGAAGAAAUAAAUGAAAAUUACAUCAUUUUAAAACAGUCUGUAUUACAUGAUAUUUUAUUAAGUUGUUGUAUCUGUUGCUAACAGAAUACAUUAGAGCUUCACAUUGGCAAACAGUUUGGUUUGGCCCAAGACAUAAAUGUAACUUGCAAGAACUGUUUUUUUAAAUUUUCAAAGAACUCUUCUGCAAAUGUGGUUGAAAAUAAGAAAAGCUCAUACGAUAUUAAUCGCAGAACAGUGGUUGCUGUAACUGAACUGGGAAAAGGACAUGCAGGACUUGAAAAAUUUUCGUGUAUAAUGAACUUGCCUUCCAUGGAUUCUAAAUCGAAUAUGUCCCAGAAAACGAAUUAAAAAAUGAAAAAUGUCAAUAUUUGCCACAUCGUCUCGUGAAAAAAAUGCAAAGCGAAACCUCGAAGAUACGCCCUGUUUCUGACACUUCUGCCUGCGAGAAAGGAAAACCUUCCUUAACUCAUUGCAUGCUUAACGGAAUUGGGUUAAGUAAAGUUUAAAGUACGGUACCAAAUUUCAAUUUUUUCUUGGCGAUAUAUCGCCAAAUAUGGUGACCGGUGGCUAUCCUAUGACAACCCUAAAUUGCUCUGUUCUGCAAGGGUCAGGGGUCACUUUUUUCGACUUGUCACUCCGUAAGGGUCAGACGUUUGUUUUUUCUGUUCCUUUCGUCGAUAGGGUUAAUUUGUGAACACGUGCUUCUCGUGAUGGGUGCUAUAGGUAAAAAAUUGCCUCGUUUUCAAAUCCAAAAACAAGUCGAUGGCAAUGCUGGUUUGUAUAAUCUUUUUUUUUUUUUUUUGGACUUACGAAAGGCUCCGAAACUGGAUGUGAUCAAAUGGUGUAUGAAUGAGAAAUUGAUUGCUAAUGAUUAUGUGUGUUGUAAAUGUGGGAAAAAGAUGAAUUUGGUUGAAAGGAUUGAUUCGAAUGAUGGAUGGAUUUGGGUUUGUCGUGAUAGUGUGCACUACAUUAAAAGAUCUGUCAGAAAGGGUAGUUGGUUUUCUCGAAGUCAUUUAUCUAUCACCGAAGUCUUAAUCUUAUCCUAUUUGUGGGUGAAAGAGACACCCACAAAAUGGAUACUUGAUGAAUUUUCAUACUUGAGUAAACCAACUUUGGCUGAUUGAAAGAGUUUUUGUCCUGAAGUGUGUAUGAGUAUGCUUGUGUUUGGUGAGUAUAGUAAGAUUGGGGGUGUAGGUGUGAUUGUGGAAAUUGAUGAAAGCAAGUUUGGCAAAAGGAAGUAUAAUAGAGGUAAAAGAGUGGAAGGGAAAUGGGUGUUGAUCGAAUGGGCAGAAACGUUGAUCGAAAUUACAAAAAAAUGUUUUGCCAGGGAGCAUCGUCCCCUCGGAUUGUUGGAAAUCUUACAACUCGUUAACGGCCGAAGGAUACGUUCAAAAAAUUUUAAAGACCCUAUCACCGGUGUUCACACUAACAGCAUCGAAGGCACCUGGAGCGCCAUCAAAUCGAAAAUGAAAAAGGACGGAGCAAAUAAGUGCAAGGAUCAAUUUGAUUCGUAUCUUGCCACUUACAUGUUCCGCCGCACCUAUCAGUGCAGUUAUCGGGCACUAUUUAAAGUGUUUCUUCGAGGUAUCGGCGAGCUGUACACGCCGCAAACAUGUGAUUUGCCCGGCGAGGAAUCCCAGGCCAGUGCUUCUCCUGACGAGGAAUGACUAGGUUAUAUACACUCAAGAGCCAAAACAUUAUGACCACCCCUACAUUUUGCAAUGAACUCGCCUGAAUGACGUGACAGGUGGAAGUGGUAUUUAACUGCUGCUGGAGAGUCUGAAGAAUCAUUCUUUCACUUACUUCUGUGUGUGAUGGGAAAGGCUGAAGAUCUAAGCGACUUUGAUAGAGGGCAGAUUGUAAUAGCUCGAAGGCUCGGAACAAGUAUUUCCGAAACUGCACGACUCGUGGGUUGUGCGCGAUCUACAGUUGUUAGUACUUGUGCAAAGUGGAUGAAUGACGGUGAAAGCAGCAGUAGACAAUAUGAUGUUGGACGUCCACAUGCUAUCAAAGAAAAAGGUCGUCGGAGACUGUCUCGCAUGGUGAAGCAAAACCGGAGCCCAAUACAAUGCAGGGACAAGUAGAAUAGUAUCGGAGCACGCUGUUCAUUAUUAAAGUGCAUAAAUACUUGGCAAGAAAUUUUGCGGACUGCGUUCGUAUUUUCAGAGAGAAGACAAAAGAACAAGAUUGUCUUCAGUUACAGAAGCUCUGGAUAUUGCACCAAAAUGGGUGCAUUAUUAAAGACUGCUGUUCCUGAGGGACACGAUAUAUGUAGACUGUUCGGAGUCCAAUUUGGACGAAUCCUUCACGACUGAUGUUGGAUGCUCGGAACCAAUGAUUUCUGUGGAGGAAAGAGAGAAUAACUUUGUGCCAGAGCCGGAAUAUGUCGAAGAAAAUUGCCCAGUCUUCGGCAACCACUCUGCAGAAAAGAGGUGCUGAACAAAGCAAUUUCAAUCUAGGUCCUCCUCCCAAAAGACGCCGCCAAACAAAUGUGGGUGAAGAUGUUCUUAGAAUGGUGUCUGCGGAACUCAAAAAAAAGUGAUGCUUCGGAAUCUGUUCCCCAUGCUGUGGGACAACUUGUUGUCUCCACUUUAAAAAAAACUGGCACCACCGUAUGGGGAACAGUUCACCCGAAGAAUCUUUGAACUAAUA